CAUUGGUGGGGGAAGGGCUGGAUCCUGAAAACCUUCUGCGGGUUUGAUUUGAAAUCAUUUUCAACAGCCUCUGAGUUCUAUUUGCUUUCGAUUCGU
RNAcentral lists this transfer RNA (96 nucleotides) under Belgica antarctica. RNAcentral's name for it is "tRNA IU25_tRNA_34". The record is from RNAcentral. Lineage: Eukaryota; Metazoa; Arthropoda; Insecta; Diptera; Chironomidae.